Molecule: ribosomal RNA, 350 nt
Filed under: uncultured bacterium
Lineage: Bacteria
Description: bacterial SSU rRNA
Rfam family: Bacterial small subunit ribosomal RNA
Source: RNAcentral
GGGCCCGCACAAGCGGUGGAGUAUGUGGUUUAAUUCGAUGCAACGCGAAGAACCUUACCAGGGUUUGACAUCCUGCGAAUCUCUUGGAAACAGGAGAGUGCCUUCGGGAACGCAGUGACAGGUGGUGCAUGGCUGUCGUCAGCUCGUGUCGUGAGAUGUUGGGUUAAGUCCCGCAACGAGCGCAACCCACGUCUUUAGUUGCCAGCAUUUAGUUGGGCACUCUAGAGAGACUGCCGGUGAUAAACCCGGAGGAAGGUGUGGAUGACGUCAAGUCAUCAUGCCCCUUACAUCCUGGGCUACACACGUACUACAAUGGGCGAGACAAUGAGAUGCAAACCUGCGAGGGUAAG